GGGACACGUGGUAUCCUGUCUGAAUAUGGGGGGACCAUCCUCCAAGGCUAAAUACUCCUGACUGACCGAUAGUGAACCAGUACCGUGAGGGAAAGGCGAAAAGAACCCCGGCGAGGGGAGUGAAAAAGAACCUGAAACCGUGUACGUACAAGCAGUGGGAGCACGCUUAGGCGUGUGACUGCGUACCUUUUGUAUAAUGGGUCAGCGACUUAUAUUCUGUAGCAAGGUUAACCGAAUAGGGGAGCCGAAGGGAAACCGAGUCUUAACUGGGCGUUAAGUUGCAGGGUAUAGACCCGAAACCCGGUGAUCUAGCCAUGGGCAGGUUGAAGGUUGGGUAACACUAACUGGAGGACCGAACCGACUAAUGUUGAAAAAUUAGCGGAUGACUUGUGGCUGGGGGUGAAAGGCCAAUCAAACCGGGAGAUAGCUGGUUCUCCCCGAAAGCUAUUUAGGUAGCGCCUCGUGAAUUCAUCUCCGGGGGUAGAGCACUGUUUCGGCAAGGGGGUCAUCCCGACUUACCAACCCGAUGCAAACUGCGAAUACCGGAGAAUGUUAUCACGGGAGACACACGGCGGGUGCUAACGUCCGUCGUGAAGAGGGAAACAACCCAGACCGCCAGCUAAGGUCCCAAAGUCAUGGUUAAGUGGGAAACGAUG
RNAcentral lists this ribosomal RNA (656 nucleotides) under Escherichia coli. RNAcentral describes it as "partial 23S ribosomal RNA". It matches the Rfam family "Bacterial large subunit ribosomal RNA", at positions 419 to 1075 of the family's 2925-position model. The record is from RNAcentral. Lineage: Bacteria; Pseudomonadati; Pseudomonadota; Gammaproteobacteria; Enterobacterales; Enterobacteriaceae.